Molecule: ribosomal RNA, 253 nt
Filed under: uncultured bacterium
Lineage: Bacteria
Description: partial 16S ribosomal RNA
Rfam family: Bacterial small subunit ribosomal RNA
Source: RNAcentral
UACGUAGGGUGCAAGCGUUGUCCGGAAUUAUUGGGCGUAAAGAGCUCGUAGGCGGUCUGUCGCGUCGGCUGUGAAAACCCGAGGCUCAACCUCGGGCCUGCAGUCGAUACGGGCAAACUAGAGUACUGCAGGGGAGACUGGAAUUCCUGGUGUAGCGGUGAAAUGCGUAGAUAUCAGGAGGAAUACCGGUGGCGAAAGCGACUCUCUGGACGGCAACUGACGCUGAGGCACGAAAGCGUGGGGAGCAAACAGG